CCAUUCAGGGCCUGAGGUGGUUCUGUGGCGUAGUGGAUGUGACACCAGCGCACUUGUCUCUUCAUUUAUACUAAUCAAGUGAAACCUUCAGAUGUCCGUUCUUAUUGUUUUUGCUUUUUUCCCUUUGACAUCAUUAAUAAACCAGCUACGGUUAUCGUGGUAGAGACUGCCGCUCCAACCUUUACCUGUUGCCCACUGGGGAGACUGUGUACUUCAUCGCUUCAGUGGUCGUCCUGUUCAAUGUGGAUGAACGGCUGCAGAGACACUACACGGGACACACAGAUGACAUCAAUGCCUUGCGGUCCACCCAGACAAAAUCACUAUAGCAACCGGACAGGUGGCAGGCACCACCGCAGAUGGCAAACAGUUGGCUCCUCAUGUACGAGUGUGGGACUCCGUCAGCCUCAAC
This is a long non-coding RNA of Thalassophryne amazonica, 409 nucleotides long. RefSeq lists it as uncharacterized. The record is from RefSeq and is a predicted model, not a curated record. NCBI's taxonomy places the organism in Eukaryota, Metazoa, Chordata, Actinopteri, Batrachoidiformes, Batrachoididae. The transcript has 3 exons.